RNAcentral lists this long non-coding RNA (647 nucleotides) under Fukomys damarensis (Damara mole-rat). Its description in RNAcentral is "lncRNA (ENSFDAG00000032173.1)". The record is from RNAcentral. Lineage: Eukaryota; Metazoa; Chordata; Mammalia; Rodentia; Bathyergidae.
AGCUGCCCUGCCCCCCACCAAUCACUUCACAGUGGCCUCUUCUCUCUUCCUCCCUUCCAGGCAGAGCUCCUGGAGAGCAAAGCUACAUCUUGCUCAUCCCUCUAUUCCCAGAUCUACCUGGGUGUCCAGCAGAGGUUCCAGUUUUGAAUGAGUGGUACCCUUGCUACAAUAUCUGAAACCUCUUCUCCCCACUAUAGGAUUCACUCACCGCAGGGGAAGUAAUCAGCUUCUUAUGGCCAACCACUCUGCCCAGGGCUUCCUUGGGAAACUUGUUCCAUCUCAGCCAGAUUCCAGGGGCAUUGUCUAGGUCAUCGGCCAUGUAACUUUCCCAUGUGUUUUGGCCUGGCUUUGCUGACCUUUUUGUUACAUUUCUUGUGGGCAUAAGUGCUACCCAUAUCUUCUCCAAAGGUCCUUUCUGUUUCACAAGAGGCCUAAGCCUCUUGAAUGUCCUGUUAGACCCUGAGAAGGGACAGAAAUCCCAGGGCCAGCCACUCUCAGAGGAUGCCUUUUGGUGCCCCUCUCCCUUCCUGUCUGCCAUUGCCUGGUUCCUGCAGAGUUUGAGAAAAUCUCCACAUAGACCUUGCUACUGUCCUGGCACAGUCCCCUGCUGUCCCAUGAUGAAGCUGAGGUCAGAUGUCCUUUGGUGA